Non-coding RNA from Phascolarctos cinereus (koala), 1118 nucleotides. NCBI's taxonomy places the organism in Eukaryota, Metazoa, Chordata, Mammalia, Diprotodontia, Phascolarctidae. The record is from RefSeq and is a predicted model, not a curated record.
AGAGAACAAAGACCCAUCCAUUUUGAGAAAAGGUGGUGAGCAGCACUGUCUUCAAAAUGUGUUCUAUUAAAAUAUGAACAGAAUCAGAAGAAAAGGAAGGAUAGUGGAUCCGGAGCUAGAAUGGACCUGACCCAGCUUCACUUUACUGAGGACAUUCAGUUAACAAAAAUCAAUCAGAUGAAGUACUGCGUGCCUACUAUGUGUGAAGCACAGGAAUUAUGGAGAAGAGGAAGGACCAACAACCUUGAAGCCAUUUUACUUCUUUGCUCAUUAAUGUCUACCAUGUAUGAUGGGAAAAGAAGGACCCUGGUGGUGGGACCUGCUUGCUGUGGCUGGUGGCUAAAGUUUUGAGUCCAUUGCAAAUGCCCAGAUACUCCAAGACCAGUGAAUGAGGAAGUGAUGAAAAGCUGCUGCUGGAAGAGGUCUUCAACGAUCUGAAAACGCUUCCACUGGCAGUGCCUGCACCACGUUCAGAGGCAGCAGUGGGUAGGCCAUAACACUGGGGCAGAAGUGAAUUCAGAAGCUUGGCUGACCGAUGAGGCCAUCUUGCACAACCAGACCCAUUUCCAAAGAGGCCAAAGUUACUUUGUUGGGUCAGAUAAAACCCAGGCAACUAAAGGGAAGCAUGAGGGCAGGACCUGGGCAGUUGAGAUGGUGGACAGCCCAAAUGAUCCACACCCACAGGUCAAAUCCCAGCAUCUGUCUACAGCCACCCUGAGACUCCAAGAACAGAAACAGAACUGUGUUCAAAAAGCAAUUCACUUAAUCUUGUCAAGCGUCAGCUUCGAUGUCUACAGAAUGUUAGCUCCUAGUGGGUAGGGACUGUUUCUACUUUUUAAUUGUUUCUCCAUCACUUACCACUACACCUGGCACAUAGUGAGGACUCAAUAAAUCUUUAUUGAUUGAUUGGCUAAUCUAUAAAAUGGGGAUGCAUACUUCCAUGGGCUCCCUCUCAAUUUUGUUGUGAAGAAAGAUUUUUUUAGGGGGUAAUACAGAAGGCACCACGCUGAACUAGAUAAAGCAGUGGUUCUAAGUAUGGUCCGGAAACAGGGACCUUUUCAGGGGGUCCAUGAGGUCAAAACUAUUUUCAGUUUCUAAUAUAGUAAAUGUCAACAGGU